UACGUAGGUGGCAAGCGUUUAUCCGGAAUUAUUGGGCGUAAAGCGCUCGCAGGCGGUUUCUUAAGUCUGAUGUGAAAGCCCACGGCUCAACCGUGGAGGGUCAUUGGAAACUGGGAGACUUGAGUGCAGAAGAGGAGAGUGGAAUUCCACGUGUAGCGGUGAAAUGCGUAGAGAUGUGGAGGAACACCAGUGGCGAAGGCGACUCUCUGGUCUGUAACGUGACGCUG
Molecule: ribosomal RNA, 227 nt
Filed under: uncultured bacterium
Lineage: Bacteria
Description: partial 16S ribosomal RNA
Rfam family: Bacterial small subunit ribosomal RNA
Source: RNAcentral